This 531-nucleotide ribosomal RNA is filed under the name Stenotrophomonas sp. APH11. RNAcentral describes it as "bacterial SSU rRNA". It matches the Rfam family "Bacterial small subunit ribosomal RNA", at positions 338 to 860 of the family's 1533-position model. Lineage: Bacteria; Pseudomonadati; Pseudomonadota; Gammaproteobacteria; Lysobacterales; Lysobacteraceae. The record is from RNAcentral. RNAcentral also lists the same sequence under 8 other names.
CCUACGGGAGGCAGCAGUGGGGAAUAUUGGACAAUGGGCGCAAGCCUGAUCCAGCCAUACCGCGUGGGUGAAGAAGGCCUUCGGGUUGUAAAGCCCUUUUGUUGGGAAAGAAAAGCAGCGGGCUAAUACCUUGCUGUUCUGACGGUACCCAAAGAAUAAGCACCGGCUAACUUCGUGCCAGCAGCCGCGGUAAUACGAAGGGUGCAAGCGUUACUCGGAAUUACUGGGCGUAAAGCGUGCGUAGGUGGUUGUUUAAGUCUGUUGUGAAAGCCCUGGGCUCAACCUGGGAACUGCAGUGGAAACUGGAUGACUAGAGUGUGGUAGAGGGUAGCGGAAUUCCCGGUGUAGCAGUGAAAUGCGUAGAGAUCGGGAGGAACAUCCAUGGCGAAGGCAGCUACCUGGACCAACACUGACACUGAGGCACGAAAGCGUGGGGAGCAAACAGGAUUAGAUACCCUGGUAGUCCACGCCCUAAACGAUGCGAACUGGAUGUUGGGUGCACUUUGGCACGCAGUAUCGAAGCUAACGCGU